This is a long non-coding RNA of Ochotona princeps (American pika), 603 nucleotides long. RefSeq lists it as uncharacterized. Lineage: Eukaryota; Metazoa; Chordata; Mammalia; Lagomorpha; Ochotonidae. The transcript has 5 exons. The record is from RefSeq and is a predicted model, not a curated record.
CUGGAGCUCUGACAGCUGUCUUGUGUUGAGAAGUAAGAAGGAGCCAGGAAACUGGUCUGUGAAGCUGCCCGCCAGUCCUAGAAUGCUUACCUCUUGACUCUUUUAUUUAAGAGAUGAACUUCCAGUACUGUUUUCCAUGUUGGGUUUAUCCUCACACUAGCAUCCAUUUGAGAUGGCCACAACAGCCAGAGUUGGGGCAAGCUGAAGCCUGGAGCCAAGAACUUCAUCCAGAUCUCCCAGGGAUUUUCACAGGGCGCUGGAGCAGCCAAGAUUCAAAGCAGCACCGGUAUGGGAUGCCAGUAACACAGGUAAAAGUCGCUGCACCACAGCACCGGCCCCCACAAAGUGGACAUUAAUCUCAUUUGAUGAUAAAGAAAUAGACUCAAGGAAGUGAAGAAUCUUGUAAGCAGGAGCUGGAACCACAAGGGGAGCAACCAGGACUCGAACCAGUGCUUUGAUAAGGGAUGCUGGCUUCACAAGCAGUGCGCUUCACCAAAUCACCAGCCCCAGUUCACUAGAGAAAAGACCUUUUUAAUGACUGGGUCCAUGCUCAGGAGGACAGACCCUGGAGCCAGUGGUUUUGCUGCUAAUCGCGGACCUGGG